This 427-nucleotide ribosomal RNA is filed under the name Escherichia coli. RNAcentral describes it as "bacterial LSU rRNA". It matches the Rfam family "Bacterial large subunit ribosomal RNA", at positions 2521 to 2925 of the family's 2925-position model. The record is from RNAcentral. Lineage: Bacteria; Pseudomonadati; Pseudomonadota; Gammaproteobacteria; Enterobacterales; Enterobacteriaceae.
GCACCUCGAUGUCGGCUCAUCACAUCCUGGGGCUGAAGUAGGUCCCAAGGGUAUGGCUGUUCGCCAUUUAAAGUGGUACGCGAGCUGGGUUUAGAACGUCGUGAGACAGUUCGGUCCCUAUCUGCCGUGGGCGCUGGAGAACUGAGGGGGGCUGCUCCUAGUACGAGAGGACCGGAGUGGACGCAUCACUGGUGUUCGGGUUGUCAUGCCAAUGGCACUGCCCGGUAGCUAAAUGCGGAAGAGAUAAGUGCUGAAAGCAUCUAAGCACGAAACUUGCCCCGAGAUGAGUUCUCCCUGACYCYUURAGRGUCCUGAAGGAACGUUGAAGACGACGACGUUGAUAGGCCGGGUGUGUAAGCGCAGCGAUGCGUUGAGCUAACCGGUACUAAUGAACCGUGAGGCUUAACCUUACAACGCCGAAGCUGUU